GUAUAAAAGCGCAGGGGCCAUUUUACCUCCAGGUUGGCCCUGCUCAGGACCAGGAGGAAACACCUCCAGCCCGCGACCUCCUCCCACAGGGGGAAAAGGAAAGCAGGAGGACCACAGAAGCUUUGGCACCGGGGAUCCCCGCAGUCUUCACCCGCGGAGAUUCCGGCUGAAGGAGCUGUCCAGCGACUACACCGCUAAGCGCAGGGAGCCCAAGUCUCUGCACCGGAUUCCGGAGCACAAGCUCCACUGCGCAUGCGCACACGCCCUAGACCCAGGCUCAGGAGGACUGAGAAUUUUCUGACGGCAGUGCACCAUGGGAAGCUCUGAAGUUUCCGUAAUUCCUGGGCUCCAGAAAGAAGAAAAGGCGGCCGUGGAGAGACGAAGACUUCAUGUGCUGAAAGCUCUGAAGAAGCUAAGGAUUGAGGCUGAUGAGGCCCCAGCUGUUGCUGUGCUGGGCUCAGGCGGAGGACUGCGGGCUCACAUUGCCUGCCUUGGGGUCCUGAGUGAGAUGAAAGAACAGGGCCUGUUGGAUGCUGUCACGUACCUCGCAGGGGUCUCUGGAUCCACUUGGGCAAUAUCUUCUCUCUACACCAACGACGGUGACAUGGAAGCUCUCGAGGCUGACCUGAAACAUCGAUUUACCCGACAGGAGUGGGACUUGGCUAAGAGCCUACAGAAAACCAUCCAAGCAGCGAGGUCUGAGAAUUACUCUCUGACCGACUUCUGGGCCUACAUGGUUAUCUCUAAGCAAACCAGAGAACUGCCGGAGUCUCAUUUGUCCAAUAUGAAGAAGCCCGUGGAAGAAGGGACACUACCCUACCCGAUAUUUGCAGCCAUUGACAAUGACCUGCAACCUUCCUGGCAGGAGGCAAGAGCACCAGGUAAGCAAACAUUUAGAGGGAGGGAGAGGUAGUAAGGGAUGGAACGGCACGGAGUGGAAUGGAAGAAUGUUUCCCUGCCCUUCCCUUGGGGAGCCCAGGAAGAGGGAAGGGCUCAGGAUUGCAGAAAACAGGGUGCUCAGCUUAGACGAGAGAAGAGGGAAGUCCCAGAAGUGACCAGAGGACGUGCACUUGCUUUGCAUGGAUCAAGAAAACCUUUAAGAGGCCAACAUGGUGGCUCACGCUUGUAAUGCCAGUGCUUUGGGAGGCUGAGGUGGGAGGAUCGCCUGAAACCAGAAGUUGGAGACCACCCUGGGCAACAUAGUGAGAUCCCAUCUCAAAACAACAACAUUAAAAAACAAAACAAAUCAAAAAA
This 1254-nucleotide small RNA is filed under the name Pan troglodytes (chimpanzee). Its description in RNAcentral is "retained intron". Lineage: Eukaryota; Metazoa; Chordata; Mammalia; Primates; Hominidae. The record is from RNAcentral.